This 446-nucleotide ribosomal RNA is filed under the name uncultured bacterium. RNAcentral's name for it is "partial 16S ribosomal RNA". It matches the Rfam family "Bacterial small subunit ribosomal RNA", at positions 338 to 795 of the family's 1533-position model. The record is from RNAcentral.
CCUACGGGAGGCUGCAGUCGAGAAUCAUUCACAAUGGGGGAAACCCUGAUGGUGCGACGCCGCGUGGGGGAAUGAAGGUCUUCGGAUUGUAAACCCCUGUCAUGUGGGAGCAAAUUAAAAAGAUAGUACCACAAGAGGAAGAGACGGCUAACUCUGUGCCAGCAGCCGCGGUAAUACAGAGGUCUCAAGCGUUGUUCGGAAUCACUGGGCGUAAGGCGUGCGUAGGCUGUUUCGUAAGUCGUGUGUGAAAGGCGCGGGCUCAACCCGCGGACGGCACAUGAUACUGCGAGACUAGAGUAAUGGAGGGGGAACCGGAAGUCUCGGUGUAGCAGUGAAAUGCGUAGAUAUCGAGAGGAACACUCGUGGCGAAGGCGGGUUCCUGGACAUUAACUGACGCUGAGGCACGAAGGCCAGGGGAGCGAAAGGGAUUAGAUACCCGGGUAGUC